Long non-coding RNA from Glycine soja, 775 nucleotides. RefSeq lists it as uncharacterized. The transcript is spliced from 2 exons. NCBI's taxonomy places the organism in Eukaryota, Viridiplantae, Streptophyta, Magnoliopsida, Fabales, Fabaceae. The record is from RefSeq and is a predicted model, not a curated record.
UUCGAAUCCAAAUACAUAACGUCGCGAAUGAUGACUCUGUGGGGCCCACGCGAAUGAUACUGUUUCGGCAUUUUCCAUUUAUACCCAUCUUCAACCUCACAACAAACAAAACGUUCCUACAUAUUUAUCAGUAUCAACCAAAACCUGAAAUCUCUUCAGCGAAGGAUCCCCGAAGUUUUGAACAAAGCAAAACGCGCAUCGGAUAGACGUCGUUUCGAGACGAAUUCCAUUGAACGCAGUUCAACGCAGAUCUCUUGAAAUUGCUCAAUUUUUUUCAGACUAAAAAAUUGAUGUGCCCGACAAGUGAUAUAUUGAAGCUCUAUAUUCAAAAUCGUCACUGAGCACAAAACUCGCACAUGUGGCAACAGUCAGGAAGGGAAAGAAAUAAAUGACAAAAUGCAUCAGUAAGAAGACCAUCUCGGCCAUUUGCUGCUGUUGGAUCCUACAAGUGCAUAUAGGUGGACUAUGAAUUCAACCAAAAUUGGACUCCCAUGAGACUUCAGCUCCAAAGACAGAUUUCCUCCAACAUGCAGUUGGUUCCUGUGCUCUCAUCCCCUUUCCAUUAAUUGACCAUGCUGCAAGAACGGCUGUUCUCCAUCUGUAAAUAAGGAACAAUAAAUAGUUAUACCAUUACAGAACUUGUAUUUGAUUGUGCUUAAUAUCAAACGUAUAGUGUGGUGAUGCACCAAUUGUGCAAAACAAUUCUAAUACUAAAAGAUAAUGUACAUCAAUUAUUGAUUAUCAAAUAUGCACUCAGCACUUGCUUUGCAACCGA